Non-coding RNA from Gasterosteus aculeatus aculeatus (three-spined stickleback), 305 nucleotides. NCBI's taxonomy places the organism in Eukaryota, Metazoa, Chordata, Actinopteri, Perciformes, Gasterosteidae. The record is from RefSeq and is a predicted model, not a curated record.
CUUGCAUGAGAAUAAGGAGGAAACUGGAGCUUCACCCAGCCAAGAGCUGGAUGAAGCCUCGUCUCCAUGACAGCGAAGGACACGCAGCCCUUCAGUAUUGUGGAUGAUUCAGGGCAUUUGUGUCCAAACUGGAUCCUCAUCAUGUUCUCCCUACAAGGCAGGCUCUGCAGGCCGUGGUGGAGGCUGAGUAGGAGUCAGCUAAGGAGAAGGCUAAAGUGGAAAAGGUGGCUGCUGUUAGCCUUACUUCUGACAUGUGGACAUCCAUCAGUAUGGAUGCCUACCUGGCUGUAAGGUGCCACUUUGUG